Ipomoea nil (Japanese morning glory) is the source of this 1792-nucleotide RNA transcript. It is a transcript of the gene named F-box/FBD/LRR-repeat protein At1g13570-like, with no coding region annotated. The transcript has 4 exons. NCBI's taxonomy places the organism in Eukaryota, Viridiplantae, Streptophyta, Magnoliopsida, Solanales, Convolvulaceae. The record is from RefSeq and is a predicted model, not a curated record.
AUCGUUCAACUAUCAGCCUUCGCCCUUCAGCCCUGCGACUCAGCCGUCUCUCUGUCUCUCCACCGGCGGCCGGCCUAUUCUUCUCCGUCUGGCGUCUGCUACUCUGCUCCGUUUCCCUUUUGGUUUUCCUAACCCGCAAAGGCCCAAACCAAACAUCAGAGGUUAGGGUUUCUGUCACUUUUCCCUCAAUCUCUGUAUUCUUCCCAACUCUUCCUAAUUUCCUUUUAUUUACGAAAUACGACAUCUUGCCGUUGAAGAAUAGAACGAUUUUAGCUUUUGAUUUCGACUUGCGCCUCAUUGUUGUUUCAAUUUAAUGGCUCAACAUCGGCUUCUCAAAACCGCACCGGAUGCAAGUAAGGAUUUAAUAAGUGAGCUGCCGGUAGGGGUAAAGGAUAGAAUUUUGGAGUGUUUGCCCACCCGAGACGCCGCCAGAACUGCUCUGCUCUCAAGGCACUGGAAUGAUCUUUGGUUGCAGCAUGGGCGGCUUUCGUUCGAUUGGGAAUUCUUGCUAACUGUCCAACAGUGCCAAGAUGAUUAUUAUGGUAGAACCCUCGUGAAAAUAAUCAAUAAUAUCCUCUUUCCCCGGGCUUGGCCGGUUAAGAAAUUUACUCUACGGAUUUCAUAUGAUGAUCCUCAGCCGCCGCAGUCUGCUAUUGAUAGGUGGUGUCUUUUUCUGUCAAGAAAUGGUGUGGAGGAACUUAACAUACGUUUAGAUAGUGAUGAGGUGGAGGAAAAUAGUUAUCAGCUGCCAUUUUGUUUACUCUCUUGCAGGACAAUUAAGGAACUGAUAGUCCGAGGUCCCUCUAUUGAUUUGCCUGUAAAUGGUUGUGGUAUAUUUUCCAAUGUCACUUCAUUAGCUUUCUACAAUGUUGAAUUUAAGUGCAGUGUUAGUGGAAUUGCCUCUAGUUUUAGUUUUCCUAAACUUGAGAAGCUGGCUUUCGGAUAUUGUGAAGGGAUCAAUAAGUUUGAGACCGGCCAGCCAAAGCUUGAAAUGUUGUCUGUUAUUGGUUAUAUGUAUGUAGUUGAUUCGAGAUGGUUGGCACCGCAUUUGAAAUCCAUUAAGACUCUUUGGUUGUGUGACUCUUCGUUGCGGUCUAUGGAUGUAUCUGUGUUUCCAACUGCAAUAAAUUUGCAAGUGAUGAAGCUAUAUCAAUUAAAUUUUGGUAUUCGGAAGCACCUCGUCAUUGUUAUGCAAUUGCUUCAAAAAUGCCCCAACCUAUGUGAACUUCGGAUUAUUGCGAAUGAGUUGGGUUGGAAGGAUGACGAAGAAGCUGCUUCAAGGUUUUUGGAGGAUCCAAAUGGUAGCUUUGUUAUUCACGAGUUGAAGAUGCUUAACACAAUCAAGAUUGAAUCAUUCAGUGAAUCCGCAUUUGAAAUGCUCUUUAUGAAAGUGUUGCUCUCAAAAUCCCCAGCGCUAGAGAGAGUUGUUAUUGUGAAGUCUUGGGGUACAAAUGCCCAGGCGAGAAAAAUCCAAAGGAAGUUGGAAUGCUUCCCUCGUGCAUCUCCAAACGCACAAAUUGUCUGCACGGGCAAUUACUAUGCGUCUAUGCGUGAUGAUUGGAUGGAUACCCAUGGUUUUGUCCUUUCAAGAACUUAGUAUGGUGAAUCUCCCUGGGUUCUAUUUGAUUGCAGCUUAGAAAUGUAAGUAAAGAUUAUGUUAGAAGUUGAAAUGAUUUCUAAGUUGUUGAGCAUGGGGUAUUUGUGGGCAAUUAAGAAUCUCUAGCUACAUUUAACACAUGUUCAUGCUUUCUUUCUGCAAUUGCAUUCUGCUGUGUUGUGGGGUGUUGACACA